GACGAACGCUGGCGGCGUGCUUAACACAUGCAAGUCGAGCGGAUAAGGGCAGCUUUCGCGGGGAGCCAGCGUCGCGAAGGGGAGAAAUACCUAGGAGUCUCCCGCGUAUUGCUUUGUGAUAACCUGAAGAAAGCGGUGAUAACGCCGGAUUGGUGAUGCUGCAGGAUGGUGGGGGUCGGACAGCUUCGGCGGUUGGGGAUGGACUCGCGGCUUAUCAGUUUGUGGGGGGAGUAGUGGCUAAGCAAGGGUUUGACGGGUAGCCGGCCUGGGAGGGUGACCGGCCACAUUGGGACUGAGAUACGGCCCAGACUCCUACGGGAGGCAGAAGUGGGGAAUAUGGCACAAUGGGCGGAAGCCUGAUGCAGCAACGCCGCGUGCGGGAUGACGGCCUUCGGGUUGUAAACCGCUUUCGCCUGUGACGAAGCGUGAGUGACGGUAAUGGGUAAAGAAGCACCGGCUAACUACGUG
Molecule: ribosomal RNA, 468 nt
Filed under: uncultured bacterium
Lineage: Bacteria
Description: partial 16S ribosomal RNA
Rfam family: Bacterial small subunit ribosomal RNA
Source: RNAcentral